UACGUAGGUCCCGAGCGUUGUCCGGAAUUACUGGGUGUAAAGGGUGCGCAGGCGGUCUUGUGCGUCAGAGGUGAAAUAUCACGGCUCAACCGUGAGGGUGCCUUUGAUACGGCAAGACUUGAGUACGAGAGAGGGUGAUGGAAUUCCUGGUGUAGCGGUGAAAUGCGCAGAUAUCAGGAGGAACACCGGUGGCGAAGGCGGGUCUCUGGGCCGAUACUGACGCUGAGGAGCGAAAGCGUGGGGAGCGAACAGG
This 253-nucleotide ribosomal RNA is filed under the name uncultured bacterium. Its description in RNAcentral is "partial 16S ribosomal RNA". It matches the Rfam family "Bacterial small subunit ribosomal RNA", at positions 524 to 776 of the family's 1533-position model. The record is from RNAcentral.